GCCAUAUCCCGUUGAAACACGGGUUCCCUUAUGAUCACCGAAGUUAAGAAUCGUUGAGCCUGGUCAGUACUUAGAGGGGUGACCACUUGGGAAUACAAAGUGCUGUCA
Molecule: non-coding RNA, 108 nt
Organism: Acanthosepion pharaonis
Lineage: Eukaryota; Metazoa; Mollusca; Cephalopoda; Sepiida; Sepiidae
Source: the annotation of a GenBank genome assembly